AUGCCGCGUGAGUGAUGAAGGCCUUCGGGUUGUAAAGCUCUUUUGGCGGGGACGAUAAUGACGGUACUUAUACCUCAAGCUCCGGACCGCUCCCGGCCAACAACCCCCCGCUUACUUCGGGGCCUAGCGUUGCUCGGAAUCACUGGUGGUAAAGUUCGCUUGAAUUACUGGGUCUUUCAGGGGUGAAAGCCCGUCUUCCAACUCGGGAAGUGCCUCCCAGGCUGAACCUGGGGAUUUCGGUAGAGGUGGGUGGAAUUCCGAGUGUAGAGGUGAAAUUCAUAUAUCUUGGGAAGAACACCAUUGGCAAAGGCGGCGAAGUGGCCCGAUGCUGACGCUGAGGUCCUGGACCGUGGGGAGCAAACAGGAUUAAAUACCCUGGUAGUCCACGCCGUAAACUAUGCUUGCUAGCCGUUGGCGAGCAUGCUUGUCAGUGGCGCAGCUAACGCUUUAACCAUUCCGCCUGGGGAGUACGGUCUCAAGAUUACAACUCG
This 491-nucleotide ribosomal RNA is filed under the name uncultured Alphaproteobacteria bacterium. Its description in RNAcentral is "bacterial SSU rRNA". It matches the Rfam family "Bacterial small subunit ribosomal RNA", at positions 394 to 903 of the family's 1533-position model. Lineage: Bacteria; Pseudomonadati; Pseudomonadota; Alphaproteobacteria. The record is from RNAcentral.